CAUGCUUAAUACAUGCAAGUUGGACAGGGAUGUUUUCAAUGGCAAACGAACAAGAAACGAGUAAAAACCUUUUCUUGGGAGGAGAACAACUGAAAAAUGACUGCUAAUACUCAUAGAUUGAGGAGUAAAAUGAGGGACACGUCCAAGGAGGGACUUGCGAUUGAUUAGCUAGUUGGUGAAACAAUAAUUUAUCAAGAAAAUGAUCGUUAAAGAAGAUGAUCAAUCACAUUGGGAUUGAGACACGACCCAAACUUCCCAUGGGAGACAGCAGUGGAGAAAUUUUCACACUGGGCAAAAGCCAAUCGGAGUAAUG
This 313-nucleotide ribosomal RNA is filed under the name Olea europaea subsp. europaea. RNAcentral describes it as "Bacterial small subunit ribosomal RNA". It matches the Rfam family "Bacterial small subunit ribosomal RNA", at positions 43 to 396 of the family's 1533-position model. The record is from Rfam by way of RNAcentral. Lineage: Eukaryota; Viridiplantae; Streptophyta; Magnoliopsida; Lamiales; Oleaceae.